GUCACAAUCAGCUAGGCUCUGAAGACAAAUCCGAGUUCAGGCUGUGGAUUGGCUGAUCCCUCAUGAAUAUGUAGAUUACUCUCACCCUUCACCUCGCUCUGGAAAAACCAGCCACCAUGUUGUAAGGAUGCUCAAGUAGCACUAUGGAGAUUCACACGUGGCAAAGAGCUGAGGCCUCCCACCAACAGCCACAUGAGGGAGCCAGAGUAGGAGUGGCUCCUCCAGCCCCAGUCGAACCUUCAGAUGUGACAGACUUGGCUGCUGACAGUUUGCAAUCUCAUGAGACCCUGAGCCAGAACCACCCAGCUAAAUCAGUCCUGGACUCCUGAUCAACAGAAAUGACCAAAGAGAGGCGUUUUGAACAUUAAGACGCUUUGCUGCUUCUCACCUGAAACACGUAACAGGAACACCAACCUCUUCAGCCGCGGGAAAUCUUCUUUGACACAAAACUCAAACCGAGUCAACCCAAAGUUCCAAGUUCUUUGCUUUCUCUUCUGUGUGUGUGUUGGUUUGUCCCAAAAGUCAGUUUGCAAGUUGAAACUUCAUGAAAUUACUCGUAGCAGAAAUAAAGUACAUUGUACAAAUCA
RNAcentral lists this long non-coding RNA (587 nucleotides) under Homo sapiens (human). Its description in RNAcentral is "HSALNT0395669". Lineage: Eukaryota; Metazoa; Chordata; Mammalia; Primates; Hominidae. The record is from RNAcentral.